AGCCUCGCAGUUUUAGGAACGCCAGAUUGCAAAUCUGGAAGGGCAGGGUCACAUCUGCCGAGACUU
RNAcentral lists this transfer RNA (66 nucleotides) under Lestidium atlanticum (Atlantic barracudina). RNAcentral's name for it is "tRNA-Cys". The record is from RNAcentral. Lineage: Eukaryota; Metazoa; Chordata; Actinopteri; Aulopiformes; Paralepididae.